Molecule: long non-coding RNA, 203 nt
Organism: Phyllostomus discolor (pale spear-nosed bat)
Lineage: Eukaryota; Metazoa; Chordata; Mammalia; Chiroptera; Phyllostomidae
Exons: 3
Source: RefSeq, a predicted model, not a curated record
UUUUGAAAAGUACGUUAUUUUCUACGAGCUUACGUUAAGAUUUCCGGGAGAUUUUCCUAAUAGGGCGAAUAAAAGUGACCCAGGACAGCUGUGUGGGUCACCUGGGGCGGGGGUCCUCCGAGUGAGGCCCCCAGACUGACGUCGUCGCCACCUGGGCGUUUGUUGGAGACACGAGUUAACAGGCAUUUCCCCAGAAACGCCGG